Molecule: small nuclear RNA, 117 nt
Filed under: Tropilaelaps mercedesae
Lineage: Eukaryota; Metazoa; Arthropoda; Arachnida; Mesostigmata; Laelapidae
Description: U5 spliceosomal RNA
Rfam family: U5 spliceosomal RNA
About the family: U5 RNA is a component of both types of known spliceosome. The precise function of this molecule is unknown, though it is known that the 5' loop is required for splice site selection and p220 binding, and that both the 3' stem-loop and the Sm site are important for Sm protein binding and cap methylation.
Source: Rfam by way of RNAcentral
UCGCUCAGGUCUCCCAGCAUCGACGAAUAUGCGUUUCGCCUUUUACUAAACGCAUCCGUGCUGGGGGGCGCUUACAAUGAGCCUAAAUGGCAAUUUUUGUGGCCUCUUAUAGGGGCU